AUGGGGGUGCAGGGACCCGUGAGGGGACUGCAGGGCUGCCCCAGCCAGUUCCUGCCUGGGCACGGCCGAGCCCUCAGAGGAGCUGCUGCAGCCUCUGUGGGAUGUGUGGGAGCAAAGAGAGCCCCACAGGCAGCAAGUGUGAGGGAAAAGCGUGAGGAACAGCCCUGGCAGCACCCAACAGAGAAAAACAGGAUAACCCAUCUGAAAUUGUGCCAGAGUUUACAGGAACACUGAUGCCAGCAAUUUAGGGAUCUUCACAUUCAGUCUCAGUGGUUUGAGAAAGGAACCAGAGAAUCUUGUCCUAUUAGAAUAUGUAGAACAACAUCUCUGCAAAGAAGACAAAUGACAAUAUCUACA
RNAcentral lists this long non-coding RNA (357 nucleotides) under Cyanistes caeruleus (blue tit). Its description in RNAcentral is "lncRNA (ENSCCEG00000012820.1)". Lineage: Eukaryota; Metazoa; Chordata; Aves; Passeriformes; Paridae. The record is from RNAcentral.